This 300-nucleotide unclassified non-coding RNA is filed under the name uncultured fungus. Its description in RNAcentral is "sequence contains 5.8S rRNA gene, ITS2". The stretch from base 1 to 73 matches the Rfam family "5.8S ribosomal RNA", at positions 84 to 154 of the family's 154-position model. Lineage: Eukaryota; Fungi. The record is from RNAcentral.
GUGAGUCAUCGAAUCUUUGAACGCAUAUGGCACCUGCUAACUUUUGUUAGAAGGUAUGCCUGUUUGAGAAUCAUAUUAUAUUUAUUUCUUUUUGUUCCUUUGAUAAUAAUGAUUGGUUGUCAUUGAUUAUUCAUUUUGAUCAUUGACGAUUGAUGACAUGACUAUUGAGGGAAACAAAUUGACAUAAUUGGACUUUUAUCAUUAAUCGUCUUGAAUUCUGUAAGGAUGACUUGUUGAUAGAUAAAACAUGGAAUGUAUUCUCAUUCAAUUAAUAUAUUUUGACAUGUCAAACCACACCCC